This 4911-nucleotide long non-coding RNA is filed under the name Brassica rapa (field mustard). RNAcentral describes it as "long non-coding RNA (BRAP_LNC000474)". The record is from RNAcentral. Lineage: Eukaryota; Viridiplantae; Streptophyta; Magnoliopsida; Brassicales; Brassicaceae.
CCCUGUUGCUCACCCCUCCUUCUUUCCCCCUUUCAGGAGAGACCGACGAGCAGGAGUGAUUAUCGGACCGGUGCUAUUGGGCUUUUGGGCUUCUAUCGCUUUUAUCGUUAUCGGGCUUUUAGGCCUUUGGACUUUUAUCGCUUUUGUUAUUUCCUAUUUCAGACUUUUGGUUUAUGUCGUAUUUUAUAUUUCAGAUGUUAUCGAUGUUGGGUCUUUAGGCCUUAUGGUAUCGUAUUGACUUUUAUAUUUAUAAAUGGAGAUUUCAUAAACUAUUAUUUAUCGAAUUAUAUUUUUAUUAUUUCGAAAGUGACGGGUGUCACAAGUUUUGGUAUCAGAGCUAUUUAAUUAUCGUAAUAUUUUAUUAUGUAAAUCGGGGUGUUACAAUUUUGGUAUCAGAGCUAUUUAUUUAUCGUAAUAUUUUGUUAUGUAAAUCGGGGUGUCACAAUUUUGGUAUCAGAGCUAUUUAUUUAUCGUAAUAUUUUAUUAUGUAAAUCGGGGUUUCACAAUUUUGGUAUCAGAGCUAUUUAUUUAUCGUAAUAUUUUAUUAUGUAAAUCGGGGUGUCACAAUUUUGGUAUCAGAGCGGGGUUUCAUCCCGGCUCCGACCCGGGAUGGCGAUUUUGGAGACCUGGUUUUAUUCGGUUUUACUCGGUUUUGACGGUUUUAGACGAUUUCAAAAACAUUUCGGAGAUUUGGAAAUUUUAAAAAUGAAAAUAAAUAGCACCUUUUCGUUCGGUAUCACUCCAUCUUAAAUGUUGGUAUCCAGAGUUCGGAGGAAGUUAACUUUUUCGCUUCCCUUUCAGAUGCCGCCCAGGAAGAGAGUUGUUCGUACACAGACCGCCAGAGUUGCUAGAGAGGCUGAGGAUGAGCAUGUUCAUCUCGCAGUUCCGCAGCAGGCGACUCCACCGAUUGAUCAGGAGGCCAUGAGACAGAUGGUUCAGGAUGCCGCUAGGCAGGCCGCUCAGGAGGUAGUUCAGCAGAUUGCCCAGGAGGCAGCCAGGCAGUCUGCUCAGGAGGCUGCCCGAGUAGCUGCUCAGGAGGUUUCUCGUCAGAUGGCUGCAGUUCAGCAGGCUCCUCAGGUUCAGGUGCAGCAGGGUCCGCAGAUUCGGGUUCAGCAAGCUCCACCGGCUCAGGUCCAACAGGAUCAGCAGAUUCCCGCUCAGCAUGAUUAUCAGGAUCCCGUUCAGCAGGUUCCCCUUCCACAGGUUCCACUGCAGCAGGGUCCAGCUCAGCAGUUUGCUCAUGGUGUUCAGGAUCUACCACCACCACCACGGCGACCUCAUGUUUACCCAGUUUAUAAUGAGAGGUUCUACAGGCUGACAUGUCAGAUGAGGAACAUGGAUAUAGAGCAUUUUAGUGGGACAGUGGAUGCUGUAGCUGCACAUGAUUGGAAGUUAGCCUUGCAGCGGAAGCUGGAGAUUAUUGAGUGUCCACCAGAGUUGUCGCUCAGAUUGACUAUGCAGUACCUUCGUGGAGAUGCUCUUAUAUGGUGGGAGGGAAUACAAUUGAGUCACUUUGGGCCAGAGAGGCUUACCUUCGCAGACUUCAUCCGAGAGUUCGAUACGAAAUACUUUUCGAAGGAAGCUAUGGAUAUGAAGAAAUGCGAGUUUUAGCAUGUAAGCCAGGUGAGAUGUCUAUCAGGGAGUAUGAGGUUGUCUUUAACCAACUUUGCAGGUUUGCUGGAGAGGGCAUUUUAGAGGAAGACCUGAUGAGGAAAAUUUUGAAUGGGAUGCGAGUAGAGAUUCGCAACAGGUGUCGUGUCGUCACUUAUCACAGAUUGGGAGACUUGGUGGAGAAGGCUGCCGAGCAGUAGGCAGGUUUGGCAGAGGAGAAGAAGUACUCCAAGGCAGUUCAGCCUAAGGUUGGAGGUACUUCAGAGGCACAGCAGAGGACAUGGGACAAACCGAGCAUACAGUGCUUUUAUUGUGGAAAGAUGGGACAUAAGAGUAGGGUUUGUCGGAGUAGGCUAUUUGAUGCCCAGGUUGCGCCACGAGCAGCGGCAGCAUCACCAGUAGUGGAUGUUAGAAACUGUUUUGGUUGUAACCAACCUGUUCACAUUUUCAACUGUCCGAGGAGGGGUAAUGCAGUGCUUCCACCACCACUGAAGCGUCUAGCCAUCGCUCCACGUGCGUUUGCGGUUGGAGAUCCCCAUGGAGCUGAGCCGAUAGCGGGUAUGUAUUCUUAUCAUACUUGCUUGUGUUGAGUAUUUGUGGUUUUGUGGUUAUCUUGUAUAGUUCGAGAUUAGUGAAUCUCGUGUAUGAUUGGUUGUGGUUGGUGUGAGUUACCUCACACCUUAUUUGACUCAAGAGCUUUUCAUAGUUUUGUGAGUCCGCGUUUGGUUAAGUUUUAGUUUUUUUUUUUUUUGAGGAUCUUCUAACCGAACGAUAAGCAGAUUAAGAUCGUUGUUAUGGAGAGCUUGUUGUUAUGGAGAGUUUGAGAGCGAUCAAGAUUCAUCGCAAUGUACCUGUUAUCAUUUGAGUAUAAUGAUGACACCGUCGAAGUUUUUUUAUGAUGGGUCUAGUCGUACACCACUUUGUUGGACCAAAGUGGGGGAGAGACGUGAGAUAGAACCAACAUUGAUUCAAGAGAUGAUAGAGCAAAUGGAAAUGCUCGAAGCUUGCGUUAGAAAGCCCAUGACCGUCAGAAGAGUUACGUGGAUAACCGCCGUAAGAUUUGGAUUUUGAAGUUGGCAACCUAAUAAAUCUGAAGGAGGAUGUUUCAAGAAGAAUUAAAGACUCGGAAUCUAAAGAAACUUAAACCGAGAUAUAUGGAAUCAUAUCUCAUUAUUGGCCAGCAAGUGAAAUCAGUCUAGGGAGUGGUGACCAUGUUGCUAGUGACCAUAUUGGUCAAGGAUCGUCGGGAGAAAUAAGAUUUAAGAGGAGACCUGGGAAUCCGUGCUCCAGAUGACGAUUGACUAUUGGAGACUUUUCGGUUGGUUUUAGGCAGUUAAGUUGUCACUUGAAUUCGGGGACGAAUUCCUUGUAAGUAGGGGAGAGUUGUAACGACCCUAAGUUUGGUUUGUGAAUUUGUUAGCCGGCUAAGUCAUUUACAUUUAUCUGAGGACAAUUAUUAACCUAUAAAUAUCCACCUCUACAUUGGUUUCUCCUCCUGCACCAAAAAAAUAAUAAAAUGAGAAUUUAGAGAGAAGAAGAAGUGAAAAAUAAAGAGAGUGAGAGAAAGAAAGAUAGGAACCACUGCAUGCUGCCACCAGGAGUCCUCGCCGGAGCCACCACACGCCAGGACAUCGUCAAGCUCGUCAUCACCAUCAACCACAGCUGAGAAUCGCCGGAACCGCCGCCUCUUAAGCUUUGUUUUCGUCCGUUCAGUAAAUCGGCCAUAUCUUCCUAACCGUCGCGAAUCUCGCGCAUGCAUACCCAGCAUCGUGUUUCUCUCGUCGAGACAAAGCCGUAGCCACCGACCACGCCGCAAUCGGAGUCUGGACGAAGCCCCUAGAGCCUCUGAAAGUUUCGCCUCUGCGCGCGCGUGAGUUACACGCGCCGCCGCCGGAAAUCGUCUCCGCCGCUUUCGCCGCCGUCGCCUGCCGCUGGACCACCGCCUCGCCACCACCGGGACGCCGUCGCUGCCGCCGUGCUCCGCCUUCUGUUGUCACCGUCGUCCACCGUCACCGCCGGUAAGCCAUCGCAGUCGCCGUCGGUGACCGUCGCCGGUGACUCGCUGAUGACUCGCCAACCCGGCCGAGUCGACCUGAUGAGUCAACUCGGUGACUCGGUCAACCGAUUGGUUUGACCGGUUUAAAUUGAUUUUGGUUCGGUUAGGGUAAACCGGUCGGUUAGGACAAAUUGAUUUCUGGUCAACGGUUGACCGGAUUGACCUUUGACCAACGAGUUGACUUUUCCAUAAACCUUGACCAGACCCGUUUUAAACCGUUGAAAAGGCGUUCUGACUCGAUUUCUCGCCCUGAUUUCAGAUUUGGAGUCUAUUUGAGCAUCUGGAGUUCAUAGAUACCACUUCUUCUUGUUGAUAAGGUGAGGGCUAUUCCGUUAAAUCCCGAGCUAGUUUAGUACUACCAUUAUGGAAAGUUUAGUUUCGAAACAUGAUCCGUCUCUGUGAAUCGAGUCUGUUUGAGAGUCUUGCUUGUUCAUUAUUGAUAUUGAUUGUUAACCGGAAUUAGGAUAAAAGAGGAUUCAACGAUUGUGUGAAAUGAUUGAUGCUAAGAACUGCUAUAUAUAUGUAUAUACAUAGUUAUGAGUAGGGAUUAUGUGAUAAGGGCGUGAGUUCAGAGAUGUCUGAGCUUCGACGCUACAGUGUGGUAUGGGCGUGAGUUCAGAGACGUUUGAGCUUCGACGCUACUGUGUGGGGCGUGGUGCGGAGACGUUUGCAUUCGACGCUACGAUGGGCGGGGGUACAGAGACAGACUGUACUAGCGACGCUUCGAGUAUAUGUAUAUAUCCUUAUGAGGAGAUGCACGGUGCAGAGUGUAGCUAUGUACUAUAAUCGCAUGAGUUGUAACGGCUAGUCCUCUAGCCGAAUAUUGAUUGUUCUGUGUGGUGUAAUAGGCACCGUGUUUGUUUCAUGCUAGAGCUAGGCCUACAUUUUAGUAGUGCUAUGAACUCAGUCUGUGGUUUGCGGUUUAGCAUCCCAUACCUCGCUGGGCAAUUCCCCUAUUGCUCACCCCUCCUUCUUUCCCCCUUUCAGGAGAGACCAACGAGCAGGAGUGAUUAUCGGACCGUUGCUAUUGGGCUUUUGGGCUUCUAUCGCUUUUAUCGUUAUCAGGCUUUUAGACCUUUGGACUUUUAUCGCUUUUGUUAUUUCCUAUUUCAGACUUUUGGUUUAUGUCGUAUUUUAUAUUUCAGACGUUAUCGAUGUUGGGCCUUUAGGCCUUAUGGUAUCGUAUUGACUUUUAUAUUUAUAAAUGGAGAUUUCAUAGACUAUUAUUUAUCGAAUUAUAUUUU